This 435-nucleotide ribosomal RNA is filed under the name uncultured bacterium. Its description in RNAcentral is "partial 16S ribosomal RNA". It matches the Rfam family "Bacterial small subunit ribosomal RNA", at positions 28 to 507 of the family's 1533-position model. The record is from RNAcentral.
GAUGAACGCUGGCGGUAUGCUUAACACAUGCAAGUCGAACGGACUCUUCGGAGUUAGUGGCGGACGGGUGAUUAACGCCUGAGAAUCUGGCUUUGGGUUCCGGACCACCACUGGAAACGGUGGCUAAUACCAGAUGUGCCGAUAGGUAAAAGAGAAAUGGCCUGAAGAGUAGGGCGCGUCUGAUUAGCUCGUUUGGGAGUUAAAGGCCCACCAAGGUAGCGAUCAGUAGCUGGUGUGAGGGGCUGAGGAGACACAGUGAGCCUGAGACACGGCCCAGACUCCCAGGGGAGGGAGGUGUGGAGAAUUGUCCGAUAGGGGCGAAAGUCAGGCGGAGAAAUAGCGCGUGAGAGAAGAAGGCUCGGGGGGUGUAAACCUCUUGCCUUAGGGAAGAACAAAGUGACGGUAACUGAGGAAGCAGCAUCGGCUAACUACGUG